Molecule: unclassified non-coding RNA, 200 nt
Filed under: uncultured Cladophialophora
Lineage: Eukaryota; Fungi; Ascomycota; Eurotiomycetes; Chaetothyriales; Herpotrichiellaceae
Description: sequence contains ITS2
Source: RNAcentral
UUAAGUUCAGCGCGUAUUCCUACCUGAUCCGAGGUCAACCAUAGAAGUUUCCUUGUAGCAAGGAGGGGACCGGGUCCCGGGUGCCCUCGUCCGAUACGUGCUCGAUGAAAAGCUCAGUGUACCGGGGGAACCACAGGCCGCCGUCAUUGUCUUUAGGAGGGGUCGAUCGCUCGACCGGCCGUCCAACACCAAGCCCAGGG